AAAAUGACUGUGAAAAAGAGGAGUAGAAGUAAGAAUAGUAUUAAGAGAGGAAAGUUUAUUAGCUGAGAGACUUUCUAUACGAAUCACUUUGAAGGUAGCUUUGGAGUUUCUUUACUGAAUUUAUAGUAGGUAAAGACGGUUUUCUUAACCGUUAAUUGUAUUAAGAGCCUGUAACUUUACAGGAAAAAAGGUGGUAACGCGGGUCUUCGUCCUUUUA
Molecule: non-coding RNA, 217 nt
Filed under: Clostridium magnum
Lineage: Bacteria; Bacillati; Bacillota; Clostridia; Eubacteriales; Clostridiaceae
Description: T-box sequence
Rfam family: T-box leader
About the family: Uncharged tRNA acts as the effector for transcription antitermination of genes in the T-box leader family. T-boxes are found upstream of many aminoacyl-tRNA synthetase genes and some amino acid biosynthetic genes usually in Gram-positive bacteria. The anticodon of a specific tRNA base pairs to a specifier sequence within the T-box motif, and the NCCA acceptor tail of the tRNA base pairs to a conserved bulge in the T-box antiterminator hairpin.
Source: RNAcentral